Molecule: ribosomal RNA, 443 nt
Filed under: uncultured bacterium
Lineage: Bacteria
Description: bacterial SSU rRNA
Rfam family: Bacterial small subunit ribosomal RNA
Source: RNAcentral
GUACGGGAGGCAGCAAUUAGGAAUCUUGCGCAAUGGGGGCAACCCUGACGCAGCGACGUCGCGUGAAGGAUGAAGGUCCUCGGAUCGUAAACUUCUUUUAAGAGGGAAGAAAUUUGACGGUACCUCUUGAAUAAGCCCCGGCUAACUACGUGCCAGCAGCCGCGGUAAUACGUAGGGGGCGAGCGUUGUCCGAAGUUACUGGGCGUAAAGCGCGCGUAGGCGGUUUCUUAAGUCUGGGGUGAAAGGUUCAGCGCUCAACGCGAACAGUGCCUUGGAAACUGGGGAACUUGAGUCUGGGAGGGGGCAGUGGAAUUCCUGGUGUAGCGGUGAAAUGCGUAGAUAUCAGGAGGAACACCGGUGGCGAAGGCGGCUGCCUGGCCUAAGACUGACGCUGAUGUGCGAAAGCGUGGGGAGCGAACGGGAUUAGAAACCCGAGUAGUCCG